RNAcentral lists this ribosomal RNA (576 nucleotides) under uncultured eukaryote. Its description in RNAcentral is "SSU rRNA". It matches the Rfam family "Eukaryotic small subunit ribosomal RNA", at positions 174 to 758 of the family's 1831-position model. The record is from RNAcentral.
UAAAAACCCCGACUUCGGAAGGGGUGUAUUUAUUAGAUACAAAACCAAUGCCCUUCGGGGCUCUUUGGUGAUUCAUGAUAACUAUACGAAUCGCACGGCCUUGCGCCGGCGAUGGUUCAUUCAAAUUUCUUCCCUAUCAACUUUCGAUGUUUGGGUAUUGGCCAAACAUGGUUGCAACGGGUAACGGAGGGUUAGGGCUCGACCCCGGAGAAGGAGCCUGAGAAACGGCUACUACAUCCAAGGAAGGCAGCAGGCGCGCAAAUUACCCAAUCCCGACUCGGGGAGGUAGUGACAAUAAAUACUGAUACAGGGCCCUUUCGGGCCUUGUAAUUGGAAUGAGUACAAUUUAAAUCCCUUAACGAGGAACAAUUGGAGGGCAAGUCUGGUGCCAGCAGCCGCGGUAAUUCCAGCUCCAAUAGCGUAUAUUAAAGUUGUUGUGGUUAAAAAGCUCGUAGUUGAACCUUGGGCCUGGCUGGCCGGUCCGCCUCACCGCGUGCACUGGUCCGGCCGGGCCUUUCCCUCUGUGGAACCCCAUACCCUUCACUGGUCGUGGCGGGGAAACAGGUCAUUUAUUUU